RNAcentral lists this ribosomal RNA (443 nucleotides) under uncultured bacterium. Its description in RNAcentral is "partial 16S ribosomal RNA". It matches the Rfam family "Bacterial small subunit ribosomal RNA", at positions 338 to 795 of the family's 1533-position model. The record is from RNAcentral.
CCUACGGGAGGCAGCAGUGGGGAAUAUUGGGCAAUGGGCGCAAGCCUGACCCAGCAACGCCGCGUGAAGGAAGAAGGCUUUCGGGUUGUAAACUUCUUUUCUCAGGGACGAAGCAAGUGACGGUACCUGCGGAAUAAGCCACGGCUAACUACGUGCCAGCAGCCGCGGUAAUACGUAGGUGGCAAGCGUUAUCCGGAUUUACUGGGUGUAAAGGGCGUGUAGGCGGGAAAGCAAGUCAGAUGUGAAAACCAUGGGCUCAACCCUGAGCCUGCAUUUGAAACUGUGUUUCUUGAGUGCUGGAGAGGCAAUCGGAAUGCCGUGUGUAGCGGUGAAAUGCGGAGAUAUACGGAGGAACACCAGUGGCGAAGGCGGAUUGCUGGACAGUAACUGACGCUGAGGCGCGAAAGCGUGGGGAGCAAACAGGAUUAGAUACCCCAGUAGUC